UGGGGAAUUUUGGACAAUGGGGGCAACCCUGAUCCAGCAAUGCCGCGUGUGUGAAGAAGGCCUUCGGGUUGUAAAGCACUUUUGUCCGGAAAGAAAACGCCGUGGUUAAUACCCGUGGCGGAUGACGGUACCGGAAGAAUAAGCACCGGCUAACUACGUGCCAGCAGCCGCGGUAAUACGUAGGGUGCAAGCGUUAAUCGGAAUUACUGGGCGUAAAGCGUGCGCAGGCGGUCCGCUAAGACAGAUGUGAAAUCCCCGGGCUCAACCUGGGAACUGCAUUGGUGACUGGCAGGCUAGAGUAUGGCAGAGGGGGGUAGAAUUCCACGUGUAGCAGUGAAAUGCGUAGAGAUGUGGAGGAAUACCGAUGGCGAAGGCAGCCCCCUGGGCCAAUACUGACGCUCAUGCACGAAAGCGUGGGGAGCAAACAGGAUUAGAUACCCUGGUAGUCCACGCCCUAAACGAUGUCAACUAGUUGUUGGGGAUUCAUUUCCUUAGUAACGUAGCUAACGCGUGAAGUUGACCGCCUGGGGAGUACGGUCGCAAGAUUAAAACUUAAAGGAAUUGACGGGGUCAUAGCUGUUU
This 582-nucleotide ribosomal RNA is filed under the name uncultured bacterium. Its description in RNAcentral is "partial 16S ribosomal RNA". It matches the Rfam family "Bacterial small subunit ribosomal RNA", at positions 355 to 935 of the family's 1533-position model. The record is from RNAcentral.